UACGUAUGGAGCAAGCGUUAUCCGGAUUUACUGGGUGUAAAGGGUGCGUAGACGGGUUAACAAGUUAGUUGUGAAAUCCCUCGGCUCAACUGAGGAACUGCAACUAAAACUAUUAAUCUUGAGUGCAGGAGAGGUAAGUGGAAUUCCUAGUGUAGCGGUGAAAUGCGUAGAUAUUAGGAGGAACACCAGUGGCGAAGGCGACUUACUGGACUGUAACUGACGUUGAGGCACGAAAGUGUGGGGAGCAAACAGG
Molecule: ribosomal RNA, 253 nt
Filed under: uncultured bacterium
Lineage: Bacteria
Description: partial 16S ribosomal RNA
Rfam family: Bacterial small subunit ribosomal RNA
Source: RNAcentral